CUUUGGACAAUGGGCGAAAGCCUGAUCCAGCAAUGCCGCGUGCAGGAUGAAGGCCUUCGGGUUGUAAACUGCUUUUGUACGGAACGAAACGGUUCUCCUUAAUACGGGGGGCUAAUGACGGUACCGUAAGAAUAAGCACCGGCUAACUACGUGCCAGCAGCCGCGGUAAUACGUAGGGUGCGAGCGUUAAUCGGAAUUACUGGGCGUAAAGCGUGCGCAGGCGGUUAUAUAAGACAGAUGUGAAAUCCCCGGGCUCAACCUGGGACCUGCAUUUGUGACUGUAUAGCUAGAGUACGGUAGAGGGGGAUGGAAUUCCGCGUGUAGCAGUGAAAUGCGUAGAUAUGCGGAGGAACACCGAUGCCGAAGGCAAUCCCCUGGACCUGUACUGACGCUCAUGCAGGAA
This 403-nucleotide ribosomal RNA is filed under the name uncultured bacterium. RNAcentral's name for it is "bacterial SSU rRNA". It matches the Rfam family "Bacterial small subunit ribosomal RNA", at positions 362 to 757 of the family's 1533-position model. The record is from RNAcentral.